UGGCUUCAGCAGUGAGGGUGGCUUCCAUUGUAUAGAAUAGAAAUAAAGCGAGUUGCAAUUGAAGCUUUGAAAAUUUGAUUGAUUUCGGUGAGGAACAUCCCUCACCAUCAACCACCAUGUGGAUGUCACCUCGAAUCUCAUAUCUCAUGUUGGUAGAUUGAGUAAAUUAGAAGUAAGUAAUGUCGAGGUUAAGCAUGGACGUUGCUGUUACAGUCUAAUGUCGCCGCCUCCUCCAACCCCCGAUUUGCAGGCCUCAAAGCCACGGACAAAACUUCAUCAUCCUUAUUACAAAGCUGGAGAUAUACCAAAUAAUUGUAUUGGGGAAAAUGUAUCUAGAAAAGACAAGUCCAAGUAUCUUCUCACUACACUUCUUGAUCUCAACGACAGGAAGGAGGCUAUUUGUGUUGCUCUUGAUGCCUGGGUUGCCUGAGAACAAAAUUUCCCCAUCGCCUCAUUAAAAACGAUAUUGAAUGUUCUUGAAAAGAAGCAGCAGUGGCAUGGGGUUGUUCAGGAGGGAGGAGAAGUUCCAAGUUGUGAUAAAAUUAGUUGCACGACCAGACCUUCACCAUGUAGAAUUGUUUUUGGAGGGGAGACAAAUUGAUGCUCCGCUGGAAGCUAUUGAUGCUCUUGACUGUGUUCUCGGUGCACCACGUGCUACUAGGUAUUGCCGAUUAGGAAGGUCGUUCUAUUCACCCAAACUGGGUAAAAACACAUCUAGGUGAGGGAUUGGAAAGUUGAGAUGGUUUAUUUCAAAGUUUUCGUCCCCUUCAGAUGGGUUUAUCUCUGAAUGUUGGUGCGUAAUAUCACUAAUUCUUUAUUUCUUCAUUUUUAUAAAUAAAUUCUUUUGACAAAUCAAUUUUUCUGAAUAUGUUCAUUUAUGGAUGUUCAGACGUAUCCUCCGCUGUUUUUAUCGAGUCAUUGCCAGUUAUAGACUUUGUAAAAUAAUGGCUGAAAAUGAAUGUAUCCAACCAACCACUUUCUUAUGCUGAUCGUGCAAAGGUUUUCCUGUUCAGCAGUUGUUUUACAAAGUCUAUAACUGGCAAUUGCUCAAUAAAAACAGCGGAGGAUACAUCUGAACAUCCACAAAUGAACGAGAGAAACUUCAGUACAUCAGUUGUAUGUCAUUGGGUACUCAUUUUUUCCAAUUUUGAAAAGAUUCUUUCCAUUCUACUCCUUUACUUUAUUUUUGUUCCCAUUUUAGUCCUCAAACACUUUCUUUUCUUGGGCAGAUGUUCCAUACAUCGGAUGUAUGGAAGAUUUUUCCCAAAUGAACAUAUUCAGAAAAAAUUGAUUUGUCAAAAGAAUUUUUUUAUAAAAAUGAAGAAAUAAAGAAAGCAGUACACAAAUUAUUGUGAUAUUACGCACCAACGUUCAGAGAUAAACCCAUCUGAAGGGGACGAAAACUUUGAAAGAAAUCAUUCCAACUUUCCAAUCUCCUAGAUGUGUUUUACCCCGUUUGUGUAUGUCAAGGUAACCCGGUCUAGGGCCACAGUGAGGGCAAUGGAGAGGCUUCACGGAUUUAGAAGAAAAACAGGCCACAGUGAAAAAGAUAUGCAUCAAGCAGCCCUAUUCUUCUAACAUGUGUCUUUAAAGUGUAAUGCAAUGGAGGAUCCAAACUUCCAACACCAACUUCAAACCAAGGCUUAAAGAAUCAAGUUAAUUGUAAUUGAGCUUCAAACUCAUUAGCUAUGUCUUUCUUUCUUUUUUAAAAUGUGAACAAAAAAUUAGCAGAAAUCUUCAAACAAACUCAAUAACUUCCUCAAUAUAUAUAAGUGAUCUAUUGCUUAAAGCGAGAUCUCAUGAAUUGCAGCAGGAUGUCUGAGGAUUUAAGUGAUCUAUUGCUUCUAAUAGCACAGGGCCGCAUGUACAAGGUGUUAACGAUUUAAAAAAUAGUAGUAUCAAGUGCUGCAUGUAGAAAAGUUGACUGGGUAUCAGCUCUACAAUGUGCGAGUACUAAGUCCAUUGUGUUGCGUGGAUCCUAGUGUGCUACUUGUGUCAAGGGCAGAAGUAUAAGUUCAACAACUGAAUAUUUCACAUCAAGUGUGUUUUCCGUUAUGUAUUAGACCAAAGUUC
Gastrolobium bilobum is the source of this 2073-nucleotide long non-coding RNA. RefSeq lists it as uncharacterized. The transcript is spliced from 6 exons. The record is from RefSeq and is a predicted model, not a curated record. NCBI's taxonomy places the organism in Eukaryota, Viridiplantae, Streptophyta, Magnoliopsida, Fabales, Fabaceae.